UACGAAGGGGGCUAGCGUUGCUCGGAAUCACUGGGCUUAAAGGCGCGUAGGCGGGUGCUCAAGUCCGGGGUGAAAUCCUCCAGCUCAACUGGAGAACUGCCUCGGAUACUGGGUGCCUCGAGGUGGUAGGGGUAUGCGGAACUAUCGGUGGAGCGGUGAAAUGCGUUGAUAUCGAUAGGAACUCCGGUGGCGAAGGCGGCAUACUGGACCACAUCUGACGCUGAGGCGCGAAAGCCAGGGAGCAAACGGG
This 250-nucleotide ribosomal RNA is filed under the name uncultured bacterium. RNAcentral's name for it is "partial 16S ribosomal RNA". It matches the Rfam family "Bacterial small subunit ribosomal RNA", at positions 524 to 776 of the family's 1533-position model. The record is from RNAcentral.